AGUGCCAGGUUACAAAUCUGGCUGUCCAGAGCCUAAAAAGCAUUUCAUUAGCAAGGGCCGGGCAAGACCGGUGCCAGCCGCCGCGGUAACACCGGCGGCCCGAGUGGUAACCGUGAUUAUUGGGUCUAAAGGGUCUGUAGCCGGUUUGGUCAGUCUUCCGGGAAAUCCUGACGGCUCAACCGUUAGGCUUCCAGAGGAUACUGCCAGAUCUGACUAG
Molecule: ribosomal RNA, 217 nt
Filed under: uncultured methanogenic archaeon
Lineage: Archaea; Methanobacteriati; Methanobacteriota
Description: partial 16S ribosomal RNA
Rfam family: Archaeal small subunit ribosomal RNA
Source: RNAcentral